GAUGAACGCUGGCGGCGUGCCUAAUACAUGCAAGUCGAGCGAACAGACGAGGAGCUUGCGCCUCUGACGUUAGCGGCGGACGGGUGAGUAACACGUGGAUAACCUACCUAUAAGACUGGGAUAACUUCGGGAAACCGGAGCUAAUACCGGAUAAUAUAUUGAACCGCAUGGUUCAAUAGUGAAAGACGGCUUUGCUGUCACUUAUAGAUGGAUCCGCGCCGCAUUAGCUAGUUGGUAAGGUAACGGCUUACCAAGGCAACGAUGCGUAGCCGACCUGAGAGGGGGAUCGGCCACCCUGGAACUGAGACACGGUCCAGACUCCUACGGGAGGCAGCAGUAGGGAAUCUUCCGCAGUGGGCGAGAGCCUGACGGAGCAACGCCGCGUGAGUGAUGAAGGUCUUCGGAUCGUAAAACUCUGUUAUUAGGGAAGAACAAAUGUGUAAGUAACUAUGCACGUCUUGACGGUACCUAAUCAGAAAGCCACGGCUAACUACGUG
RNAcentral lists this ribosomal RNA (497 nucleotides) under uncultured bacterium. Its description in RNAcentral is "partial 16S ribosomal RNA". It matches the Rfam family "Bacterial small subunit ribosomal RNA", at positions 28 to 507 of the family's 1533-position model. The record is from RNAcentral.